UCUGGUUCUUACUGCUCUUAAAGGCACAGGCUCUGUGGCCCCGUGUCCUGCAGGUAUUGGGAGAUCCACAGCUAAGACACCGGGACCUCCUGAAAGCCAAAAAUGGGACCAUUGCAGUUUAGAGAUGUGGCCAUAGAAUUCUCUCUGGAGGAGUGGCAUUGCCUGGACACUGCACAGCGGAAUUUAUAUAAGGAUGUGAUGUUAGAGAACUACAGAAACCUGAUCUUCCU
Molecule: long non-coding RNA, 230 nt
Filed under: Pan troglodytes (chimpanzee)
Lineage: Eukaryota; Metazoa; Chordata; Mammalia; Primates; Hominidae
Description: long non-coding RNA NONPTRT008034
Source: RNAcentral